RNAcentral lists this ribosomal RNA (1372 nucleotides) under uncultured bacterium. RNAcentral describes it as "bacterial SSU rRNA". It matches the Rfam family "Bacterial small subunit ribosomal RNA", at positions 28 to 1381 of the family's 1533-position model. The record is from RNAcentral.
GAUGAACGCUGGCGGCGUGCCUAAUACAUGCAAGUCGAGCGAACGGACGAGAAGCUUGCUUUUCUGAUGUUAGCGGCGGACGGGUGAGUAACACGUGGAUAACCUACCUAUAAGACUGGGAUAACUUCGGGAAACCGGAGCUAAUACCGGAUAAUAUUUUGAACCGCAUGGUUCAAAAGUGAAAGACGGUCUUGCUGUCACUUAUAGAUGGAUCCGCGCUGCAUUAGCUAGUUGGUAAGGUAACGGCUUACCAAGGCAACGAUGCAUAGCCGACCUGAGAGGGUGAUCGGCCACACUGGAACUGAGACACGGUCCAGACUCCUACGGGAGGCAGCAGUAGGGAAUCUUCCGCAAUGGGCGAAAGCCUGACGGAGCAACGCCGCGUGAGUGAUGAAGGUCUUCGGAUCGUAAAACUCUGUUAUUAGGGAAGAACAUAUGUGUAAGUAACUGUGCACAUCUUGACGGUACCUAAUCAGAAAGCCACGGCUAACUACGUGCCAGCAGCCGCGGUAAUACGUAGGUGGCAAGCGUUAUCCGGAAUUAUUGGGCGUAAAGCGCGCGUAGGCGGUUUUUUAAGUCUGAUGUGAAAGCCCACGGCUCAACCGUGGAGGGUCAUUGGAAACUGGAAAACUUGAGUGCAGAAGAGGAAAGUGGAAUUCCAUGUGUAGCGGUGAAAUGCGCAGAGAUAUGGAGGAACACCAGUGGCGAAGGCGACUUUCUGGUCUGUAACUGACGCUGAUGUGCGAAAGCGUGGGGAUCAAACAGGAUUAGAUACCCUGGUAGUCCACGCCGUAAACGAUGAGUGCUAAGUGUUAGGGGGUUUCCGCCCCUUAGUGCUGCAGCUAACGCAUUAAGCACUCCGCCUGGGGAGUACGACCGCAAGGUUGAAACUCAAAGGAAUUGGCGGGGACCCGCACAAGCGGUGGAGCAUGUGGUUUAAUUCGAAGCAACGCGAAGAACCUUACCAAAUCUUGACAUCCUUUGACAACUCUAGAGAUAGAGCCUUCCCCUUCGGGGGACAAAGUGACAGGUGGUGCAUGGUUGUCGUCAGCUCGUGUCGUGAGAUGUUGGGUUAAGUCCCGCAACGAGCGCAACCCUUAAGCUUAGUUGCCAUCAUUAAGUUGGGCACUCUAAGUUGACUGCCGGUGACAAACCGGAGGAAGGUGGGGAUGACGUCAAAUCAUCAUGCCCCUUAUGAUUUGGGCUACACACGUGCUACAAUGGACAAUACAAAGGGCAGCGAAACCGCGAGGUCAAGCAAAUCCCAUAAAGUUGUUCUCAGUUCGGAUUGUAGUCUGCAACUCGACUACAUGAAGCUGGAAUCGCUAGUAAUCGUAGAUCAGCAUGCUACGGUGAAUACGUUCCCGGGUCU